Non-coding RNA from Caulochytrium protostelioides, 115 nucleotides. NCBI's taxonomy places the organism in Eukaryota, Fungi, Chytridiomycota, Caulochytriomycetes, Caulochytriales, Caulochytriaceae. The record is from the annotation of a GenBank genome assembly.
GCAUCCGUGGUUUAGUGGUAAAAUUAACGCUUGCCAUAGCAGCUCUGACCGUCUCAAGACCUCGGAGCCCUACAGCAACAUGUGUUAGCCCCGGGUUCGAUUCCCGGCGGAUGCA